AUAUUAUAUUUAACAAUUCAUCUAAGGGAAAACGUCUACAAGAAUAUUUUUCCCACAUUAAUAAAAUAACGAGCGAGGUAUAAAUAAAACGAUUAUUCACACUUUUAAUUAUCUCAAUUUUCCUCAAUAUAUAUUUUUCUAAAAAAAUUAAUAUUUUAUUCAUGUAUAAAACUUUCAUUCCUCAAGAUUAUAAAGAAAAAAAAGGAGUCAAUGCACAAGGAUAACUUUACCCAGGAAGGAAAAGGUCCAUGUUCAAGAAAAGAUACCAGUUCAUUUCUAGACGUCAUAUUUAAAUCGCUUUACGAGUCCGGAGAAUAUUCGGAGGCAGAUAUUCGUGAUGAAAUAAAUACAAUGGUUUUUGCAGGAAGCGAUACUGCCGCUAAUACACUUUCAUUUUUAUUUUUAAUG
RNAcentral lists this long non-coding RNA (408 nucleotides) under Polistes fuscatus (common paper wasp). Its description in RNAcentral is "uncharacterized LOC122513777". The record is from RNAcentral. Lineage: Eukaryota; Metazoa; Arthropoda; Insecta; Hymenoptera; Vespidae.